Molecule: long non-coding RNA, 242 nt
Filed under: Lathyrus oleraceus (garden pea)
Lineage: Eukaryota; Viridiplantae; Streptophyta; Magnoliopsida; Fabales; Fabaceae
Description: Pisum sativum (pea) long non-coding RNA (PSAT_LNC004550)
Source: RNAcentral
UUUGAUGGAGCAGUCGCCUGGCAAGUAAAUUGACAUAAGCGGCUGACAGUCAAGGAGGUCCAUGACUCUAGGGGCAGUGUCUUACACACAAUUUUCCAAAAGCCUUAGAUCACACAAAGAGAGAACCUUGGCUUACUAAGCAGUCAUUAUUAACUCCAUGCUUCAUCACGAUGGUCCAAAACCAUGAACCCAUGCCUAAAAACCUGUGAAAAUCUUCUCACCCAUUCAUUCGUAAAUAAACA